CGUUAUGGUGGGCGACUCUAGGGAGGACUGCCGGUGACAAACCGGAGGAAGGUGGGGAUGACGUCAAGUCAUCAUGGCCCUUACGGCCUGGGCUACACACGUGCUACAAUGGUCGGUACAAAGGGUUGCCAAGCCGCGAGGUGGAGCUAAUCCCAUAAAAACCGAUCGUAGUCCGGAUCGCAGUCUGCAACUCGACUGCGUGAAGUCGGAAUCGCUAGUAAUCGUGAAUCAGAAUGUCACGGUGAAUACGUUCCCGGGCCUU
This 262-nucleotide ribosomal RNA is filed under the name uncultured Pseudomonas sp. RNAcentral describes it as "partial 16S ribosomal RNA". It matches the Rfam family "Bacterial small subunit ribosomal RNA", at positions 1123 to 1382 of the family's 1533-position model. Lineage: Bacteria; Pseudomonadati; Pseudomonadota; Gammaproteobacteria; Pseudomonadales; Pseudomonadaceae. The record is from RNAcentral.